CCAAAAAAAAACUCUGAAUUUUCGUAUCCAAUUUUAACUGUUCGUCUUAUAUAAAUUUUUUUAUAAUUCGUAUUUUUUAUUGUUGUUAGAUGAUAAAAAUAUGAUUAAUAUUUUAUACGUGACUUGUCUUUUUAAUUUUUUUUCAUAAUUUUUUCAAAUAAGAUGAACAGUCAAACGUUAGGCAUAGAAACCAUGGUUUAUCUUUUU
Molecule: microRNA precursor, 207 nt
Organism: Oryza sativa Indica Group (long-grained rice)
Lineage: Eukaryota; Viridiplantae; Streptophyta; Magnoliopsida; Poales; Poaceae
Rfam family: MIR812 microRNA precursor family
Source: Rfam